CCUUCUCUAACGAGGGUUUUAAUAGAUUGGAGUCCCUCUUAGAUAAAUAAAUGACUCCCCAUUGAAGAUGUUUUUAGUCCCAACAAAUUCUAAGAGAUCGGUUAAACAAUAAUUAAGUUUCUUUGUGUACAAAUAUCUUUCCUUUGAAGCAAUGAGUGUGUGGUUGAUCUACAAAGACGUGGUCCAUUUAGUCUAAUAAAAUCUCUUGGGAUUCUUGAUGGAGACAUAUAAGGCUACAGCAGGUGGUGGUUCAUGAGACCUUAUCUCUAUCAAAUACCACAUUAGCCAUUCAAUUCCGUAAGUACUGAUAUCCUUACAUACAGGUACCAUAUAUAAAUACACAUCAUUGUACUCUCAAAUAUGUCAUAAAGCAUCACAUUUAAAAAAAAAAAAAAUACUUAACUGUGAUAUACAAAUUCUUUGUUGAGAAUCAUUAUUAUAUACUUGUGUUGUGUAACAUAAAAUUAAAGAGAAGUAUGGGUUUUGGUUUAUUUGGUGUAAAAAGAGGUAGAGAUGUAGUGCCAAAAGGGUGUGUUGCAGUGUAUGUUGGAGAAAAUAUGAAGCGGUUCGUGAUUCCUAUUGGAUGCUUGAAUCAACCUUCAUUUCAAGACUUGCUAAGCAAGGCAGAGGAAGAAUUUGGGUACCAUCAUCCAAUGGGUGGACUAACCAUUCCUUGCAGUGAAGAUUCUUUUUUAAACAUCAUAUCAUCAGUUGAUUCUUAAUAAAGACUACACGUUAGUUUUGAGUUUUGAUAAACUAUUUUGUAGAUUCUUUUUCCCCUUUUAUUUUUAUGCAAAAGUGGAAAAUGUAAGGGCACUGAGUUUUUUUAGCUCAGUUUUCUUUUUAUUUUUAUUAUUGAUCAUGAAAUUUCUGCAUAUAUUAUGGACUAAAUUAAAUUGAGUUGUGUUAUUAUUUUUUUGAAAGAGAAAAAAGAACAAUAUAGAAGUUGGAAAACAUGUAUCUAUCUAUCAUUUAAGACGAGUGUUUAUCUUUUUUAUUUUAUGAAUAAAAUUGGCUACGUCUUAGACAAAAAAACUAUAAACCCCUAAAAAAAAUAGUACAAGAGGAAUCUGUCAACAAAACAUUUGACAAAGUGGCAGGAGAAAACUCAAAAAUCAUAAACUUAGCGUCCAAAUUCAGCCCAUAUUUGGUGAGACAAUCUGCAACUUAAUUGUAAUCUAUGAGUCUGCGUACACUUGAAUAUUCCUAAAAUCUCUACUCCAAGCAAUCUUCAAUUCGUGUAAAAUCACCAAAGUUCAGUUUCUAGUAUAGAAUACAGAACAUAGAGUCAUUUUUGCACCAAAACCAAAUAUAAAGCUCUCAUAUGUUAUUUUGUUAGUUGUUUUUAUGCAUUUUUAGUAGAGUUCGGACGAUUUUAAAUGGUUUUGAAGCGAACAGAAAAUGAGGAGACACGGAGAGCAACACUCGUGUCACGAUUUUUGUACAUCGUGACACUCGUGGCAUGAUUUAUAACCAAAUUGAAGAGCAUCAUCUCGCAAAAAAUUGGGCCAAGAUUUGAGGAUCGUCUAGAAGAAUUUCGAAUUGGAAUGUGUAAUCGUGACAUGAUUUUUCAGUUACUGAAGUAGGAUCUAUUAAAGUCAGACAUGUUUCUAUGUAACGGGUUCGAAAAUUUUAGAGAUAAAACACAUUUGGAGCUGAAGAAUUGGAGGUUUGGUAGGAAGCCAUCAAAACUCACAGUGAGUCAUCCAAUUAAUGUAAUGAAUCAUACUCUUAGCUUGUAUUAGUUGUUUAUGCUUCCAUGAGUACAUGUUAAUUUUAUAUAUAUUGAAAUAAAAGAUAUAUAGAUUGGCUAUUAUUCACCAAAGUACAUGUUAAUUUUAUAUAUAUCGAAAUAAAAAGUUAUUAUUUGAGUCAUAACGAGUCAUCUCAUGUUUAGCACAAAUCACUACACAAGUUUCUAUAAUAAGAAGCUCGCUUUCGAGUUCAGAGGAUGACGAUGUACUUGAGAAUGUCGAAAAGUAUCCUUUGUUAUUUGUUCAUAUCAAAAUAAUUUCUUCUAAAUUAUAUCCAAAACUAUUUUUUGGGGUAUCUAGGAGAAGUGGCAAGAAACACCAAAAAAUCACGCACACAAUAUUCUGAGUACAAACUUGGGUGAAGAAGGUGUUUAGCUUAAAGGUAUCAGUAUUGUCAAUAUAGAUAGACCUUAUGAACAAACUAGUUUAAAUUUAACAAUUGAUAAGAUUAUAAAAAUAAAAAAUUUAUUAUUUUGACUGAUAUAAAUAUAUUACAGUAUUAUUUAUAUGCAAAAAAAUAUAAUAUUUUUAAGGUAUCAAAUUAAAAUUGUCUUUUUUUUUAGAGAAAAUUAAAAUUGUCUUUUUUUAGAGAAAAUUAAGAGAGUUCCAUUAAUUUGUUUCUUUGAUUUUUUAAAGACAUUAGGAAACGGUAGGAAAUAGAUCAAUGAAGAUGCGGAUUAGAAUCCUGUUUGUUUUUUUUUUCUUCCACCUAGAAAGGAAAUAUCUUCUGCUAUUGGUUUAAGUUUUGGAAAUUAUUGGACAAGUCAUCUCUCACCAGCAUAUAAUUUGUUGUGGCCUUGUAACAAACAAAAAUGCAUGUAAAGAUGCUGCUUGACUUCGAAAUGAAGAAUAAACUGUCAUGAGUAAACAGGGCUUCACUCAUUCAAGAGAAUAUGCAAUUUCCAAGUUGUUUUUCGUGUUCUUCUCAAGUACUUGUCCUGCAAGUUAUUUUGACUAAGAAAGCUACCAUAUAGCUACUGAUAAUAGAAUUGAAGAUAAGUAAAGACCACAAUUUGUGACAAUGUUUCCCAACAUUUUUAGUCAAAAAAGAGUUUCUGAACAUUUAGGCUAAUCAUCUAAAAAGAUGUCGUCAAAAACGUUGCUAUGAAUGCAUAACAAUUAGCCUAGAUGCAGAGAAAUUAAACUACUCUGCUAAUUCAAAGAAUGUGAAUCCAAAAAGAGCUUUGAAUUCAAGUCCAUGUGAAAUCAUUCGUCUCAACUUGUAUUUGAAAGAUUUUUUUAGCUGUCUAUUGUCUUCAUUUUUUAUUAAGCAAGAAAUAUAACUAUAUCUAAGGCAUCAAUAUAAAUAUUAAAGACAGAUCAAAAUAGAGGUCAUCCCCAAAAACCAAUUGAGGCAAUCAACUUCCUUAUAAAUAUUAAUAAAUCCAAAAUAAAAGUGCAGAAACUUUUUAUAAAGUAGAAAAGUAAGAAAAAAAAAAUAAUAUUGUCUAGCUAUAACGGCUUAUUAAAGCUUAUUUCCAUUCUACUUUAAUUUGGAGGAGGGAAGAAAAUGGCAUCAGCAGUCCUCUUUGAACGGAAGAGCUUCUCAACUUCUGGAUCUACAUUGAAAGCAGCCUGCAGAACCGUAGGCGAUAGCGCCUUCCACACCGAAGAACUUCCAGCCAUGUGUGUAAAUACAGGACUGCAAAAACAACAAUCAUAACCACAGUAAGUAUAAAUAAUAACAAACAAGAAAAGGAUAACAUUAUAUGCAAUUUGAUUGACAAGAAAUAACCUUUAGGUAAGAAAAACUCACUUAGGGGUGGUGAUGAUAGAAAACCACUCCAUUCCAUCAUUGUCAGCAAUCUUCGAGACGACGAAGAACCUUGGAACAAUGAACAAAUCUCCGGACUUCAAAGUUGUCUCCAAAACUCUCUUACCAUCAACACCAACAACCUGAACACGGCCGCUCCCUCUAACAAUGUAAGUAACCUGUAAAGCAGAAUCACAAGAGAAACCAGGAGAGCACAUGGAUCUUCCAUCAAUCCUCACAAGGUCAGCUCCUAAACCAACCUCACCAACCAAAGGAAGGUUCUUGGUGUUCAAGACAACAACCCUUCCACCAUUCUUAAUAUCAACAUCCAAUGGUGCCUCCAAACAGUUCAAAGCCAUGCCUUUCUUGUGUUCCUCUUUAGGCUGAGGAAGGCUUAUUUUUCCGUCAAGCUUCACAAUCCCUUUAGCAGAUUGCUUUCCAACAAGAGUCUUCACAUUGUUCUCGUCCAAGUCCCAAGCUCUUCCCACAAACUCAGUUGAAAAUCCAGUAAAGAUUCCAUUAGGACCAGUCAGGAAAAAAUCAGUAAACUCACCAGCUUUGUGUGCUUUUGAAGUAUCGCCAAGGAACAGAACAACUAACUCAGUGUCCUCUUUGUUGUACCACCAUGUCACAACACCAAAAGGGAGUGCUAAUGCAUCACCCUCCUUAAUUGCGACAACCUUCUCUUUUGAUUCAGGUAGCACAAUUCCAGCAACUCCACUUCCUGUAUCAACAAAUCUUUGCCAUUAAGAAUCUCAACAAUUCUACUAUACUAUCAAUAUUGGUAAUCACAAUAGCAAUAUGAAUUAUGAAAUACAAAAUAAAAUACUCAAAACACAAAUUUAAAUUGCUAUCAUAACCCCGAUUAAGUGAUCAACACAAAAACAAUUAAAAACAAUCAUUCUAAAUCAAAAUUGAUCAAAAUAAAAUAGAAAUAAAAAAGAUGAAUUAGAUGAUGAAAGUUUAUUUACCUUGAAGAACAUAAGCAACCUUGGAAGAAUCAGAAUACCUUGGAACAGCAAAACCAUUCUUGUGAAGAGCUAACUUGGCAGCACCAAUGUUACCUUCACGCAACAUAGGAAGUUCAGAAGGAGACCAUGCAUAGUACGAUCCACCAUCACCACCGUACACUUUCUUAGCCAAUUGAGGAGAAAGAUCGAUAUCCAUAGCAACAACACAAAAAUUGAACGAUCACACGAAAAAGCAAAGCAAAGGAAAUUUGAUGAAGAGAAUAAAUUUUGAUGUGUUUUUGAGGGCAUAUAGUUUGGUGUAUUUAUAGGUAGAAGUGUAACAAACUGCAUGUGUGUAGAUAGUGUUAAUCCGUAAUUUAAAACUCGUUAUCAUCCAAAUACUGUAACUAUCAUAGGGUUAAACUAAAUAAUAAUAUUUUUGAAAGAUAAUAACACUAACUAAAGGGGUGAAUUUAAAUUAGGAUUAGGAUGUUGUUACUCUUAUCCUUUUUUUAUCGUUUUUUUAAUCAAGUAUAUCGUUUCUUUCUAAUUAUGACACUUGUUUAGAAAAUCAAAAGUAGUAGAUUUGUAUCAUUCAACAAUAUUUUAACUUUUAAAAAUUCAAAUUCAUCACUUUUAUCAUUUUUCAAUGCAAUAUUUACAUUUUUUUUAUCCUUUUAAUCAAUGUCUUAAGGGCACACUUUAGCAUUUCCUUAUUAAUUAUUAAAACUCUACAAAAAUGAUUAAUUAAUGUAGAAUGAGUGUGUAGAUAACCCUAACCCUAACCUAGUCGAGUCUUUGUAAAGUGGAGUGAAUAGGUGCGGAAGGGAAUGCGUCAAGAUCGUGGAGGAAGAAAUCUUUGACCGAGAAGAAAGUGGAAUGUUGAUGGUGUUGGAUGAAAUUGAAAGAUGAAAAAGGGAAACAAAACAAGGAAGAGAAAUAGUGGAGAAGAACCGGAGUACAUAGAUGUGGCUUGGGAAGCGCAAAUUGUCUUCCGAUGCCGCCAACUCCCGAGAAGGAAUCCGUGGAAAACUCGAUACUACAUAGGCUUAAAAGAAAUUUUGGUCCCCCUAUUUUAACUCAAUCGGAAUUUUUAUCCCCCUUUAUUAACAAACCACCAUUUUAAGCCCCUUGUUUUGUAUUUCUAUUUUUUUUAAUCCCCCAUCAUAUUUGGUGAUGUGUUACUCUCAUUAAUGAUGUUUCAGUGACGUGUCAGCGCAUGUUGGCUAAUUCAGUUUCCGUGUCGAAUUAUAAAUUACAAAAACUAAUAUCAUUAAUUAUUAAAAUAAGAAAAAGAAUUAAAUCAUUAAAGUAAGGGGAUCAAAUUAAGGGAACGUAAACCCUAAUUUCAUUCAUCCUCAUCCACAUUACUUUCAAAUCAUCCUCUUCAUUCUCUUUCUCUUUUGUGUUUUUUCGUUUUUGUUCUUCAAGCACAUCAGAAGACAUUCAUUUUCGUUCAUCCUCAAUCUUUCUUUAAGCAGAAAACGAAUUCAAAACAAACCCUAAUUCAUUUUAGAACCCCAUUUGUUUUUGUUUUCGCAUAAGCACAUAAACUAUUUCGUUUUCGUUCAUUCACCUAUCAAACAUGUUCAAUUCGAAUUUCUCUUACUAAGGCUUCGUUUGGUUAUUAUAACACGAACGGAACGGAGCAGAAUGGAAUGGUAUGGAGCGGAAUGAAUAGAUGCUCCAUUCCAUUGUUAAUCUAUUAUUAAAACUCGUUAUUAUCCAAUACCGAGUUCGUAAUUACGAUAGGGUUAAACUAAAUAAUAAUAAUUUUGAAAGAUAAUAACAGUAAGUAAAGGGGUGAAUGUAAAUUAGGAUUAGGAUGUUGUUACUCUUAUCUUUUUUCUGUUUUUUUUUUCUUUAUAGUUUUUUUAUUCAACUAUAUUGUUUCUUUCUAUUUAUUAUAAAACUCGUUAAGAAAACUAAAAGUAGUAGGUUUUCAUAGGAUUCAACAAUAUUUUAAGUUUUCAAAAAGUUAAAUUCAUCACUUUUAUCAUUUUUCAAUGCAAUAUUUCUAUUUUUAUCCUCUUAAUAAAUGUCUUAAGAGCACUCUUUAGCAUUUCAUUAUUAAUUAUUAAAACUCUACAAAAAUUAUUAUUUAAUGCAGAAUGAGUGUGUAGAUAACCCUAACCUGGUCGAGUCUUUUGAAAGUGGAGUGAUUAGUGGCGGAAGAGAAUAAUGCAUCAAGAGAAGAAUGGAGUGAUAAGAAAGUAGAAUGUUGAUGGUGUUAGAUGAAAUUGAAAGAUGAAAAGGGAAACAAAAUGAGGAAGAGAAGAAGAGGAGAAGAAUCGGAGUACGUAGACGUGGCUUAGGAAGCGCAAAUUUUCUUCCAAUGCCACCAACUCGUGAGAAGGAGUCCGUGAAAAGUUCAAUAUUACACAUGCUUAAAAGCAAUUUUGAUCCACCUAUUUUAACUCAAUCGGAAUUUUUAUCCCCUUUUUUAAAACCACCAUUUUAGUCCCUUGUUUUGUAUUUCUUUGAUUUUUUUUAGUACCCCAUCAUAUUUGGUGAUGUGUCACUCUCAUUAAUGAUGUUUCAGUGAUGUGUCGGUGCAUGGUGGCUAAUUCAGUUUCCGUGUCAAAUUAUAGAUUAUAAAAACUAAAUGAUUAUUAUUAAAAUAAGAAAAAGAAUUAAAUCAUUAGAGGAAGAGAUCAGAAUGAGGGAAUGUAAAUCCUAAUUUCAUUCAUCUUCGUCCACCUUCCUUUCGAAUCAUCCUCGUCGUUCUCUUUCUCUUUGGCAUUUUUCGUUUUUGUUCUUCAAGCACAUCAGACGCCAUUCAAUUUUGUUCAUCCUCAAUCUUUCUUUAAGUAGUAAACAAAGUCGAAACAACCCUAAUUUGUUUUUGAAUCCCCAAUUGUUUUCGUUUUCGUAUAAGCACAUCAACUAUUUCGUUUUCGUUUUCGUUUUCUCCUACUUAAGUCAUGAAUUCCAAUUGCAGCAGCCAUUGCAUACAAGCUCGACAAAAAUAAGAGUUGGUGAGAAGAAUGUUGAUUUUUGAUUUGGGACUAAAAUCACAUUUAAGCAUCUUGUAUACUAGAGAAAGUUAGAUCAAAAUAAAUAAAUUUAUUUAGUUCAAAAUUUGAUCAAAUACUUAUUGAUAUAAUUUUUUUUCUUAUAUAUAGAACCAAAGUAAGAAUCAUACAAAUUUUGAUCGUACCACACCGCAUAAACAUAAAGUUGUGACUUGUGAUAUUUUCUAUGAGCAUUCUUUCAUAUCUAUGGUGUGAUCGAUCUUUAUCCCUAUAAAUAAAACUAAUUCAAAAAAUUUAUUUCAAAACAAUUGUUUUCUCUGUGAUGGUUUAAAAAAAUGUUUUAUGAAAAAUUAUAGGUUACUUUUAAGAAAUUAUGGAUAAGUUACUCACAAUCAAUUAAACUAAACUUCUCCACUAACUUUGUUUUUAGAACUUUAUCUUUGAUAUAGUUAGCGGAGUACAUGUGACAGAUUUUAGUUUGAUUGUGGAUUACAUAAUUACAAUUUUCUAAAGAUAACUUUGGUCUCAAAUUUUUUUCUUCUUAUAUACCAAAUUUAUUUCACAAUAAUAUGGAUAUGCAAUUAAGAGAACAUAAAAACGUGUUGGUGUUCGACUUUUGGGUAGUGCAUAAUAAAUACUUUUUGGGCAUAGUGUAUUAUUUUUGGGUCUUUAUCAGGCAUUAUUAAAGGGAUUGUCUAUUUAUUAAAAUUCUUACUCCAUCAUGACAUUUUUCCUCCUUAACAUAGGUUGUAUUUAAUUGUUUUGAUCGUCAAAAUGCAAAUUAUUGUAGUCGAGGAAUUUAUUGUGGCCUGACUCAUUUACUCAUGUAAUUAAUUGUUAUUGGACUAACGAACAUCUUUUGAGCCACCGGCUUGGUUAGACCUUGUCAGUAGCCUAGAUUAACCUAUAAAGUGAUUAUAAAUAUAGUGUUACAUUUGCAAAAUCGUUUUAGGUAUUGAUGCUUAAUCAUAUAUAACUCAUUUUUGCACUUUAGUUCACUAUAAGAUUUUGGAUUUUUUGAAGUAGAUUUAAACGCUUGCUUUGAUUUAUUUUGUAUAGAUUGAUAGCAUUUAAAACAAUUAGUUGUAAGUUUGAUUGAAUUCGCUAGAUUAAUAUUGGUUUUGUGACGCUUGUUUCAUAAUCAUAGUUAAUUGGAUUUUGUAAUGAUUAAUCUAAUAGGGAUUCUUAUACAGUUAAUUGAUGUUUAAUUGGUUAAUUUUAUAAUCAAGCAAGAUAAUAGUUAUGAAACAAAUGUUAUAUGUCUACAUGAUAACUAGUAAAUAGAGAAAUUGCAGAUAAGAGAAUACCACAAUUUUUAACAAUCUCCUAUGUCCCUAACUGAGUUAAUACUACUGUUACUUGGAAAUUGGUAGACAUGUUGGUCCCAAAGUUUUGCCAAAUAAACAACCUGAAUUCGGUAUCAAAGAAGGUCAUUGAACAGUGAAUUUGGUUUCUUGAAAUACAUAAUUAGAAAAUAGAAUGAUAAAAUCUGAUAAGUACAAACUGAUCAAUGAAUUUUGGAAAUUUAGAGUUAGAGGUAUAUAUCUAAAAUUUGAGUAGACAAAAGUUAGAGAGUAGAAAAGAUACACAGUCAUGGACUAUAGAUAGAUAAACCAUGCUUCAAAGGUAGGAAAACAUAUAGAAUGAGGAUGUGUUAUUCAAUGGAUUAUUCAAGGAAUUGUAAAUUUCUUAUCUGCAUUAAAAUAAUAAUUCACACAAAAUACUAAGGUUCUUCCCUUGCUGGGAUUCAUGUGUACUAUUCGUGUUUUGAAAUUUAUCAGAACAUCAAGUCUAUUUUUUCUGAUACUAAUUGGUCUAACUGCAAGGAAGAAUCAACAUUCUAACAUAGAAACAAAAAGUAAACAUAGGAGCUGCUUGAAAAGUAUAAUUCAUUGUUAUUAUUCAUCAAACAAAAAAAGCAUUCUCAAAAUUUAUCAUUCUUAUGAUAAUUACAUUUCCAAUCUCUGUAGGGUCUUUACAAUUUGAUAAGAUGUCUCAUGUUCAAAAUGGAUCUACUAACAGUAAACUAUGUCGGUCUCCUACAAUAGUGUGAGCUUUACAAGCGAGACGUUAUGUGCUGGAAGACAUCUUCGGUGCAAGAAAUAGUGAGGCCAACCAUUGGUUCAAGUAUGAGAUGGAAAACAUACUACAGUCAGUGAGUUGUAGUUUGAGCAGCAGCCACAGUAGAAACCAUUGAGUCCACUCCACAGAUAUUUCGUCCCCUACAAAUCUUAUAGUAUCCAUUUUCUCCCCACGUCUCGCCCCAGGAGCUUUUAACAAUCCAAUACGGCUUCUCCUUCGUAUAAGCUCCAGAACCGUACCCCACCAGCAAAACUCCAUGAUCCAGCCUCCUUGUACAAGUGUAUGGGCACGAUACACCUCCCACGUAUGUCUGCAUGUAUGCCGCAUUUAUGGCAACUGCAUUUGUGAACAUUUGAAUUAGAUAAUUAUAAGUAAAAUAAUAGUAAUAAUAAUUAUAAUUCAAAUUGUUCAGAUUGUUAGGGUAUUACUCACCAGCAAGAGGUCCAUAUUUGAGAAGAUUGGCAGCAAUUUGGUCGUCAUCAACUAAAACAGAACUGAAAUUUGCCGCCACCGAUCGUGCAAUGUUUGUCUUGUAAUAAGUAUAGUCUUCCACUCGCAUGAGACCACCAGAUUUUUUAAUGUACUCAUGAUCACAAUCAACAUGUUGUUGAUCACUAAGACUAACGAGUUCUCCAGUAGAGAGGAAGUUAGCACCUUCGAGUGCGCCAAUUGUACUGAAACUCCAACUCGAACCACAGAAACCCUAAUUCAUAGUUACAAAUCCAAAAUCAAAAUUUAAAAAAUUUAAUCAACUUAUAACAACAAUAUUAAUCAUAAUCAUAAUUACUUAAUUAGAAAGAAUAUAUACCUGAUUCCUAACAGGGGUAACCGCUCCUUUUUCUCUCCAAUCAAAAUCACGAGGAAGGUUCUCGGACGAAAGAAUAGGUGCAGCUUUUGCAUGUCUCGGUAACCCUACUCCUUUUAAUCCCAAGAUGCUAUUACGAAACUCCCUCGGAGUAAGAUCGGAGAAUCUUGUAACACCAUGAGUUGCCGAAGGAUCCAUUAUCACAUGUCUCUUAGCACGGUGAAGGUUAGACUUGAAGACGUUGAACCUAUAAUCAUGUUCAUCUUUGGAGGAAUAAACCUUACCAAACCUUUGCUUGAAUUCAUUAAAUUGAUGCUCAGCUCCUCCCUUAUCGACCACCUGCUGGAUUAUUGGAUCUUCUCGGUCGUUUGGCGUCGAGAAUGCCAAGUCGACAGAAAAGAACAGGAAAAGGACAGAGAACAGCAUGAGAGUCUUGUUACGAUUCAUCAUGGCUUGAUCGUAGUAUGGUAUGUUAUGACUUAUGAUAUGUUAAGUUGAGUGCUGAGUGAGUUUUAUAUAGGGAAAAUGUUACAUGAACACCCUUUAUUUCUACACUCCAUUGUACACCUCAUGUAUUAGGGAUAUUUUGGUAAGUUCAUCUUACAACCACACUUUAUCUUCUAUUUAUGUGGGGUCCAGGUUGCCACGUGUCAGAAUUUUGUAUGGGUGUAAAGGGUGUAUUGCCACAUGGGGUGGUACAUGUAUCAUCACUCUUUAUAUAGUGGUUACGAUUACAAUAAAGGGAUAAUAAUGAGUGAUAACAAAUAGAUGCAGGACACGUGGAAUUAGUUUUCUGUUAUAUUUGAAUUUAGUUGACAGUUAGCGAAAACUGAUAGCUAGGAUUUUUCUAGGUUGUUGCUUCAUGUCGGUGUCAUGUGAAUAAAAGCCCAAACAAGUAAAGAACUAAACUCAAUAAACUCAAUCUUCUUUUAUGGUGGUGGCCAGAGUUUGAACACCUGGACCUUGCAUAUAUUAUGCAUUAUUUCUUUCAACUGAGUUAAGCUCACGAGAACAACUAAACUCAAUCUUCUGCAAGUAAUUAGCACGGAAAGGCUCGUUGGUUUAAUUUUUUUUUUUAAUGUAAAGAACUAGCAAAAAGACGGACACUCAUGUGCUCGCUCUUUUUAUUGCGUUAACGUUUGUAUAUUAUAUUUUUUUAUGAAAUUUUAAUUUUGAUUAAAAGUAAAAAUAUAAAUAUUUUUUGCUUUCAAAUUAUAACAAAUCAAAUUAAUCAUGAUUAUCUAUUUCAAUGAAACAGACAAUUUAACAAAAAAUAAUCUAAAUUCUUUCUUUUUAAUAACUCUAACAACAAUUUUAUUAUAGAAAAAGUUGUUGUUUAAGGGUAUAAUUGGGAUAAUGAAAAAAUAAGUAUAGAUAUACUCAUCUAGUUUGUAACACUUUUUAAAUGAUAAAGGAAAAAAUUUGACAUUUGUGUUUAUUACACUUUAAUUUUAAUAUUUAAAUUUAUUCUUAUCUAUUUGUUACAUGUGUUAUUUGGAUUGAAAAUUGAGGGCAUUUUUUAAAAGAAAAAGAUGAAAGAGGUUGUUUUAUUUAUAUAUAGUAUAGAUAAGGGCAAAUGACAACCCAUUUCACUGAGAGUCUGUUUGGUUCAAGAGUUUUGGAGGGGAGUGGAAGAAAUAUUUUUAAUUUAACGUGUUUGAUUCAAAUUUUAGAAGGGGAGAAGAGAUGAACAAAAUCCUUUCAAAACUCACUUUUUGCUUCCCUUAAACGAUCUCUUUAAUAUUUUAUGCAUUGCUAAAAUUAUCCUUAGAUUAAUUUAAAAUCUCAAUAUUAUCCUUAUAAUAACUUUUAUUAUUAUUAUUAUUAUUAUUAUUAUUAUUAUUAUUAUUAUUAGGUUAUAUUAUCCUUGUAACAACUUUUAUUAUUAUUAUUAUUAUUAUUAUCUUUUAAAAAAAAACUUAUUAUUAUUAUUAUUAGGUUAUAUUAUCCCUAUUGUAACUAAAAAAAAAGGUUAUAUUAUCCCUAUAACAACUUUUAUUAUUAUUAAGUUAUGGGAAAAGUUAACCUGUGUCCUUAAGGCACAAGUUAAAUUUUAUUUUAUUUUUUUAAAAAAGAAAAGAUAUCAUUAAUGAAUCAAAUCAUGAAAAUACACCUCACUGAUUUGGGGAGGAACCUCUUCUAACCAAAUCUCUUUGGGAUUUAAAUGAGCUAAUUGGGCCAUAGCAUGGGCCGUUUUAUUACACUUCCUAGAGAUAGAUUGGAAUUGCCACGCGUCAAAGCUCCAUUGCAUGGCUUUGAUUUCCUUUACAACACUUCCCAUAUAAGAUCUGUCUUCCAGAUUGAUACUUUGAGCUAGGCGCAUAACUUUCUCAUUGUCACCUUCAAAGCAAACACGACGAAAACCACAGUCAACUGCAAAAUGAACCGUUGUAAGUAGUGCGUGCGCCUCUGCUAAAGUAGCAUCUUCAAAACCUUUAACCUUCCACGUUGCAGCUGCCAUUGCUUGACUUGGUCUCGAAUCAUGGUUCCUAAACCCCACCAUCCAUGGUGUUGCAAAUUGGCGUCACAAUUCGCCUUGACCCAUCCAUUUUCCGGCGAAGUCCAAAGGCUAUAUUUCGACGAACGCUGGUGAACUGAAGCAGCAGUGAGAAUGGUGUUACUAGAUAUAUCGGUUGCAAUUCUUGCCUAUUGACAAAGUUAAACUAAAUUAUUUUUUGUGGCUGAAAUCAUCACAUGUGCUGUUUAGUUAUAAUUAUCAUGAUUGGUGGAAACACCCGCUUCCUUGUAUGGGAGUCCAGGUGUAAUCUGUUUCUUUUUUUGUUUGGUGCUCUUGUCUGUUAGCGCCUUUUUACUGUAAAUACUGCUGGUUGUUUUCCCUUUGCAUGUCUUGUGCAGGGUAAUUCAACUUUGUUUAUAAUAUAUACCAUUUUAGUUUGUUCAGAAAAAAAAAUUGUUAUAAAUAUAAUAUUGAGAUUUAAAUUAAUCUAAGGAUAAUUUUGACAGUGAAAUAAAAUUUGCUCCGCUCCUCUUCCCUCCCCUUUUAAAAAUUGAAUCAAACACUUCAAAUUAAAUUAUUUUUCUCCCUCCCCUCUAAAACUCUCGAACCAAACGGAUUCUCAGAGGCCGUUUCCAAGACUUGAAUAUGAGACAUUUGACAAUAACUUUAACAGCUGGUUACCCUUAACCCUAUAAAAUAUUAUAAGAAUCUUUGAAGAAAAAUUAAAAAAUAAAACUUUUGGGAAAUUAACAAUCAAUGAAAAAAUUUAGGGUUAAAUAUGUUUUUGGUCCCUAUAAAUAUACCAACUUUUCAUUUUAGUCCCUCAAAAAUUUUCCUUCACCUUUCAGUCCCUCAAAAAUUUUCCAUCUUCACUUUUGGUCCCUCUCUUAAAGUAAACUCAUAUGUAGAAUACAUAUUUUUGAAUAAAAUUGUGCAGAAAAAUGCAUAAUAUUAUAAGAAACUCUCCCAAAAAAAAUUAGAAUUUUUUAAUAAAACAUGAAUUUAAUAUGAAUUUUUAUAUGUUUGACGGUUAAAAAUUCAUAAUUAAUUUAUGUUUUGUUAAAAAAAUUUAAAUUUUUGGGGUAAUAUUUUUUACAAUAUUCUACACAUUUCUGCACAAUUUCAUUAAAAAAUACAAAAAUUAACUUAAAAAUAGGGACCAAAAGUAGUGAUUGAAAAUUUUAUAAGGACUAAAAGUUGAAGGAAAAUUUUAGAGGGACUAAAACGAAAAGUUGAUAUAUUUAUAGGACCAAAAACAUAUUUAACCCAAAAAUUUAAUGGGAUUAACAUGAAAAAUUGGAAUACCCUUUAUCGUCAUCUUCCCAGGAUCUCACUUAUCCCUUCCUUAUCAGUUUCUCAAAUCCAUUGAUUUUGUUGUCUGACUCCCUAACAGUGGAUUUGAAAAAACUUUUCAUUAAAAAUAAGAUUAACCAGUAAUUCUUUGAAAUGAAGGCUGAUUCAAGGGAAUAAUUAACCUCAAUACUAAGUCACUGUGAAGGGAAGGUACCUCAUAAACACAAGUUUCUUAUCUAUUUUAUGUAGUUUAUUAGAAUAAUUUUGUUUUUCUUUCAAAUUUAUCAUUCAUUUUUGUCCUAUAAAUUUUUUUAUCAUUCAUUAUCUUUUAUUUAUAGAUAAUGAGGUUCUUUUGAAAUAGAAACCCAAUUCCAGGCUAAAUGAUUGUAUGAAACGGUAAAAUAAUAGAGAGCAUAGGAUGAGAUAUCAUGUGGUGUUUGUCUUAGAUUGUACCCCACCCUUUCAAACAAUGUCCAAUACAAGAGGAACCUCAUAUUUGUUCAUGCAUUAAUAUUAAUCUCUUUUAUUAAUAUUUGUUCAUGCACUAAUAUUAAUUGGUACGUACUUCAUAAUUUUGCAAACAUGUCUAAGACAUGUUUCUUCAUUUUGAUAAUGUUGAUCUCCAGCUGGUAAGUUAUUAUCUGCUUCACAUUCUUCUCAUACACCAAUAUCUUCUUUUCACAAGACAUACAAGAAUGGGUUUUCGUUUACCUGGUAUCCUCAAACCAAGCAUCUUCAAAAGGAGUGGAUGUGCCAAAGGGAUACCUUGCAGUAUAUGUUGGAGAGGAAAUGAA
RNAcentral lists this long non-coding RNA (14864 nucleotides) under Medicago truncatula (barrel medic). RNAcentral describes it as "long non-coding RNA (MTRU_LNC002008)". Lineage: Eukaryota; Viridiplantae; Streptophyta; Magnoliopsida; Fabales; Fabaceae. The record is from RNAcentral.